GGGCGUAAGGGCUCGCAGGCGGUUUCUUAAGUCUGAUGUGAAAGCCCCCGGCUCAACCGGGGAGGGUCAUUGGAAACUGGGGAACUUGAGUGCAGAAGAGGAGAGUGGAAUUCCACGUGUAGCGGUGAAAUGCGUAGAGAUGUGGAGGAACACCAGUGGCGAAGGCGACUCUCUGGUCUGUAACUGACGCUGAGGAGCGAAAGCGUGGGGAGCGAACAGGAUUAGAUACCCUGGUAGUCCACGCCGUAAACGAUGAGUGCUAAGUGUUAGGGGGUUUCCGCCCCUUAGUGCUGCAGCUAACGCAUUAAGCACUCCGCCUGGGGAGUACGGUCGCAAGACUGAAACUCAAAGGAAUUGACGGGGGCCCGCACAAGCGGUGGAGCAUGUGGUUUAAUUCGAAGCAACGCGAAGAACCUUACCAGGUCUUGACAUCCUCUGACAAUCCUAGAGAUAGGACGUCCCCUUCGGGGGCAGAGUGACAGGUGGUGCAUGGUUGUCGUCAGCUCGUGUCGUGAGAUGUUGGGUUAAGUCCCGCAACGAGCGCAACCCUUGAUCUUAGUUGCCAGCAUUCAGUUGGGCACUCUAAGGUGACUGCCGGUGACAAACCGGAGGAAGGUGGGGAUGACGUCAAAUCAUCAUGCCCCUUAUGACCUGGGCUACACACGUGCUACAAUGGACAGAACCAAGGGCAGCGAAACCGCGAGGUUAAGCCAAUCCCACAAAUCUGUUCU
RNAcentral lists this ribosomal RNA (731 nucleotides) under Bacillus subtilis. RNAcentral describes it as "bacterial SSU rRNA". It matches the Rfam family "Bacterial small subunit ribosomal RNA", at positions 556 to 1288 of the family's 1533-position model. Lineage: Bacteria; Bacillati; Bacillota; Bacilli; Caryophanales; Bacillaceae. The record is from RNAcentral.